AGAUCAGUGGCGGCUGCUGGUCUUUCAAGGAGGGGAAGCUCAUUUUUCUGGCCUACAUCAUAAUUGUAUUUGUUUAUUAGUAUGUAACAGAACAGAGUCGCCAAACACAACGGCAGUCGUUUUUAACAAAGACAGAAGUCGCUGAGGAUCGGUAAAGUCUCCGGAGCAGUUAAGAACAACGGAAUGAAUAACUUGGAAAAUGCUCUGGUAGAUGUUUUAUUCUUCAAGAUCGCUGAUUCGCUUGUUUAGCUGUCAAUCAAAAAAGGAUUUCGCCUCAGACAGCUCAUCCAAUCAUGGAUGCAGAAGCUUGGAGUCCGGGAGAAAGUCGGGACCGCCCUCUCGCCAUAGAACUCCAGUGAAGCUGGGCUUCCGAUGGGCGGGACAAAGCCCAGCAUUUAUCCAAUGAGCGUCUAGUUUCGCUGCUGGAACAACCCACUUUUAGCUUCCACAUUGAAGUCAGCAGAAGCCCAGCGUCCGGCUGUUUAAAGCGCUGAGGCGCUGCGAGGAUGAAUGAGAACGAAGUUAUGCCGGUUACCUGUAAUUAUCAGCUUCUUAUCACAGUGUCUGAACAAAAGAUGAAGGCUUUCUAGUGCGUAUUUAGUUAAUGAAAUGUACACACAGCCGUACGUAUUUCACCACUUUUUCUUUUUUUGGGGGGGUGACAUUUUAAGGGAAGCCGAGCUUCCCUUGCAG
Xyrichtys novacula (pearly razorfish) is the source of this 693-nucleotide non-coding RNA. NCBI's taxonomy places the organism in Eukaryota, Metazoa, Chordata, Actinopteri, Labriformes, Labridae. The record is from the annotation of a GenBank genome assembly.